This 200-nucleotide long non-coding RNA is filed under the name Carica papaya (papaya). RNAcentral describes it as "long non-coding RNA (CPAP_LNC009217)". Lineage: Eukaryota; Viridiplantae; Streptophyta; Magnoliopsida; Brassicales; Caricaceae. The record is from RNAcentral.
GUUGGAACAUAUGGAACAAGGGUGCAAGUGUUGUUUCUCUUAAGUGCUAUUAUUUUAUCCUCCAUAGCCUGUUUCUAACAUUUUAUUUGAAGUGCUUCAUGAACAGUAACAGAUUCUUUUAAUGGUAAGCAUUCAACAACAUAAAACUAGAAAUCAAAUGAAUACUAUUUUAGUUUAGAAACUCCAACCUUUGAUCUAGU